AUUCAGCUGACGAGUCCCAAAAUAGAACGAAAUGCGCAGCCUGUAU
This 46-nucleotide non-coding RNA is filed under the name Trichobilharzia regenti. Lineage: Eukaryota; Metazoa; Platyhelminthes; Trematoda; Strigeidida; Schistosomatidae. The record is from RNAcentral.